AUUGAACGCUGGCGGCAUGCUUUACACAUGCAAGUCGAACGGCAGCACGGGUGCUUGCACCUGGUGGCGAGUGGCGGACGGGUGAGUAAUGCAUCGGAACGUGUCCUGAAGUGGGGGAUAACGCAUCGAAAGAUGUGCUAAUACCGCAUAUUCUCUGAGGAGGAAAGUAGGGGAUCGAAAGACCUUAUGCUUUUGGAGCGGCCGAUGUCUGAUUAGCUAGUUGGUAGGGUAAUGGCUUACCAAGGCGACGAUCAGUAGUUGGUCUGAGAGGACGACCAGCCACACUGGGACUGAGACACGGCCCAGACUCCUACGGGAGGCAGCAGUGGGGAAUUUUGGACAAUGGGCGCAAGCCUGAUCCAGCAAUGCCGCGUGAGUGAAGAAGGCCUUCGGGUUGUAAGACUCUUUCAGUUGAGAAGAAAAAGUACGUGACUAAUAAUCAUGAUUCAUGACGGUAUCAACAGAAGAAGAC
This 472-nucleotide ribosomal RNA is filed under the name uncultured bacterium. RNAcentral describes it as "bacterial SSU rRNA". It matches the Rfam family "Bacterial small subunit ribosomal RNA", at positions 30 to 492 of the family's 1533-position model. The record is from RNAcentral.